This 529-nucleotide ribosomal RNA is filed under the name uncultured bacterium. RNAcentral's name for it is "partial 16S ribosomal RNA". It matches the Rfam family "Bacterial small subunit ribosomal RNA", at positions 355 to 900 of the family's 1533-position model. The record is from RNAcentral.
UGGGGAAUAUUGCACAAUGGGCGAAAGCCUGAUGCAGCAACGCCGCGUGAGUGAUGAAGGCCUUCGGGUUGUAAAGCUCUGUCUUUUGGGACGAUAAUGACGGUACCAAAGGAGGAAGCCACGGCUAACUACGUGCCAGCAGCCGCGGUAAUACGUAGGUGGCAAGCGUUGUCCGGAUUUACUGGGCGUAAAGGAUGCGUAGGCGGAUUUUUAAGUGAGAUGUGAAAACCCUAAGCUUAACUUGGGGACUGCAUUUCAUACUGGAAAUCUAGAGUGCGGGAGAGGAGAAUGGAAUUCCUAGUGUAGCGGUGAAAUGCGUAGAGAUUAGGAAGAACACCAGUGGCGAAGGCGAUUCUCUGGACCGUAACUGACGCUGAGGCAUGAAAGCGUGGGUAGCAAACAGGAUUAGAUACCCUGGUAGUCCACGCCGUAAACGAUGAGUACUAGGUGUAGGAGGUAUCGACCCCUUCUGUGCCGCAGUUAACACAAUAAGUACUCCGCCUGGGAAGUACGAUCGCAAGAUUAAAAC